Long non-coding RNA from Xenia sp. Carnegie-2017, 658 nucleotides. RefSeq lists it as uncharacterized. The record is from RefSeq and is a predicted model, not a curated record. Lineage: Eukaryota; Metazoa; Cnidaria; Anthozoa; Malacalcyonacea; Xeniidae. The transcript has 5 exons.
GUUAGUGAAUUUUCAUUGUUUAAGAAUACCCAAAAAGAUGAAAAAUAAACUUGUUGUUCUAGUAACUUUAUUCUGAUUUCAAUUAAUGUGCAAUUUGUCAACUGCACAUUAAAAGAUGACAAAAAAUUGAUAUGCCAAACUUUCAAAACCAAAUUGAAGAAAGCACAAGUAUUUCUAAGAGACAGAGUCGCAAAGCAACAGCUUGUCUAGGACCUCCUGGACUUCCGGGCAGGGAUGAAAAAUCAUUGUGGAGCUGAAGGAAAGCAAUUUCACUCAUUUGUCUCUGAAUAAAUUUGAUGGAAGCCAUCGAUUGGAUGAAAUAUGAAAACAAAGCAUAUGAUUGGAUGAAACUGACUAAAAAUAUCACAGACUACACUGCAAGAGUUUACUUGUAACUGCAAUAGCUGACAGAGGAUAGGUUUUCGUCCUAUAAAAAAACGUAAAAUAAUGUACAUCGCUACUCUCCAGAUUAUUUUACUUUUUCUAAUAAAAGUCAUCUACUGCAAUUAUAAUGAUGACAAAAAUGCCAUGUUGAAGUUAAAAGACAAAGCAAAAGAAAGUAUUUUUAAGAGACAGAAUAGCAAAGUAACAAGUUGUCGAGGACUUCCAGGACUUCCAGGCAGAGAUGGACGUGAUGGCAGAGAUGCUUUAUUGCGUG